Molecule: ribosomal RNA, 459 nt
Filed under: uncultured bacterium
Lineage: Bacteria
Description: partial 16S ribosomal RNA
Rfam family: Bacterial small subunit ribosomal RNA
Source: RNAcentral
CCUACGGGUGGCAGCAGUGAGGAAUAUUGGUCAAUGGACGCGAGUCUGAACCAGCCAAGCCGCGUGCGGGAGGACGGCUCUAUGUGUUGUAAACCUCUUUUGUAAGGGGGUAAACGCAGAGACGCGUCCCCGGAUGAGAGUAUCGGACGAAAAAGGAUCGGCUAACUCCGUGCCAGCAGCCGCGGUAAUACGGAGGAUUCAAGCGUUAUCCGGAUUUAUUGGGUUUAAAGGGUGCGUAGGCGGAAUGCCAAGUCAGCGGUAAAAUCGCGGGGCUCAACCUCGCCCCGCCGUUGAAACUGGCGUUCUUGAGUUGGCGAGAAGUAUGCGGAAUGCGUGGUGUAGCGGUGAAAUGCAUAGAUAUCACGCAGAACUCCGAUUGCGAAGGCAGCAUACCGGCGCCCCACUGACGCUGAAGCACGAAAGCGUGGGUAUCGAACAGGAUUAGAUACCCCUGUAGUC